UUUACAUGAUUCAGGAUCAUGGAAACCUCAGGGAGAACCGAGCCAGAAGCGUGCCCUAUUUGUCUCGAUCCUCUACAGCGAGAAGCCUAUCUCGAUCGCUGCUUCCAUGCAUUUUGUUAUCAUUGCAUUGUUAACUGGUCCAGAUUCAUUAAAGAAAAAUAUUGUCAAUCAGCAACCUCCAUAAAAUGUCCUCUUUGCAAGGUUGAAAAUUUUUCCAUUGUUUAUAGUUUUUAUGGAGAAUCUUUUAGCCGAUUUUAUUUGAACGGGGCUAGUCAGGAUAGCUUUUUUACAAGCGGACAUGUGUUCAGAUUACAGUGCUACAACAGUGAGCCAGGUAAUAUAUUCAACGUUCAACAAUAUUGGAAGCACCAGAGAUAUCGACGGCAGAACAUUUGGCUUUCAAGUUGGUUGAGAAGGGAGAUCCAAACUCUUACUAAGGAAGAAGAUGUGGACAUAAUCUUCCAUCAUGUUCUUGGUGUGAUAGAAGCCUUUUUUAGAAGGUCAGAUUAGAUUCAGCCGUCGGUUUUUCAGUGCUGUCAAAAUAUGCACAUAAAGCGAUGCAGCAAACAAAGCACAUUGCGUUUGUGAUACAUCAUCUUCUCGUUUAUUAUCUUCUCUCUCGGCUCUAGUCGCUCUUUCAUAAUAUUUUUGUCUUGGUUGCUACUCUUUCCGUAAGUUUGUAUCUUUUACAUUUAACCAUCUUAAAUUUAACCACAGUCAACAAUAUUGAGACUUGGGCAGUGUGGAUUUGCAACAUCUGCGACUAUGAGGCAAUUGUGCUUUGGGACAUUUCAAUACAUACCACACAAUUCUUAUUUAUUUACAUAUCUAACACCUAAACAUUCAUAUUUACAUACAUCUCACUCAAAUCUUUAAUGUCACAUCAAAAAUACCACCUUCAGUCUUUUUAAAAGUUAAUAGUUACAUCACUGCCUUUCUAAGAGUUAAAUACACUUUUUCAAGCACAUAUUUAUGAACCAAGGUGUUAUAAAUGUAAAUAUCAAACUUUGGGGGUUAGAUAUGUAAACACAUAAGACUUGUGUGAUAUUUAACUAAAAUUCCCCCUUCUUUUGACUAUAAAUUAUUGAUUCACAUCAUCCAUGUGCUUGGGCUUUUGUGGUGCGUAGUAAAAUGAAGUUUUCUACAUCAAAUGGUAUUAGUUUACCGACGGCCGGUAUUCGAUGCACCCCCCAUCCCAUCAGCUCUACUGUUGUCUUCUUCUCUAACAAGACCCUUUCUGGAGCCAGCACCUACCAACUCGUCUAUAAUGGGGCGGCCAAGGUGAACGAAUGACAGGGCCAUCAAGAGAAUAAGAUAAUUAUCUCUCUAUUUUGAUCCACAAUUGUGGGUUUAGACAUAAUCCUAUAUUCAAACAUGGUUCACAAAUCCUGCCAGCUCUUCUUAACAUUUUCGGUGCUGAAAUCUUCAGC
This is an RNA transcript of Phalaenopsis equestris, 1430 nucleotides long. RefSeq lists it as uncharacterized. The record is from RefSeq and is a predicted model, not a curated record. The transcript is spliced from 8 exons. NCBI's taxonomy places the organism in Eukaryota, Viridiplantae, Streptophyta, Magnoliopsida, Asparagales, Orchidaceae.